Schistocerca gregaria is the source of this 594-nucleotide long non-coding RNA. RefSeq lists it as uncharacterized. The transcript has 3 exons. NCBI's taxonomy places the organism in Eukaryota, Metazoa, Arthropoda, Insecta, Orthoptera, Acrididae. The record is from RefSeq and is a predicted model, not a curated record.
AAGUGACAGUGCCUAUUCCUGCACCAGAAAUUAACACCGUUCAGAAAUACAGGGCAUUUGCCCAGAGUGCAAUGUGACUUUAAUAUGGAACUCUGAAAAAAAAAAAAACAGGUGUGUUGUAGAACAUUGUUUUGGCCUGUGGAGCAGUGUUUUAGACAGUUGUAUCACUUGAAAUUGAGGAGUGUUAAAGGGAUGGUGCACUUCAUUCAAGCAUGCUGUGUUCUACAUAACCUCGCCAUGGAAGAUAACAAAGGUGAAGAAGAUGAUGCACCAGCUGAAGAAGUCGGCUUUUACAACAGGGAUGACAGAAGUGGCAUUGCAAAGAGGAAUAUGAUUGCAGCACAGUUGCAAAUGUAAGAGCAGCACCAGAUGCCCCAUCACUGACAUAUGGCAACAAAUAUAUCACCCUUUGAUGGGCGUAUUCAAGAAAACGGCAACCAACUACCAUUCUACAUCUGAUCUACAGUACCAGGCGAUUGACCACGAAGUCUUCUCGUUAACUCGGCAAAGAACUCAUUACUGCUAUUACUCUUAUUCCCAAAAGAAAAGGAAACUAUGUAACUGUAUUUGGAACACAAACCUUCUACAGUUGUA